This 469-nucleotide ribosomal RNA is filed under the name Colletotrichum sp. 7 SR-2010. RNAcentral's name for it is "SSU rRNA". It matches the Rfam family "Bacterial small subunit ribosomal RNA", at positions 372 to 886 of the family's 1533-position model. Lineage: Eukaryota; Fungi; Ascomycota; Sordariomycetes; Glomerellales; Glomerellaceae. The record is from RNAcentral.
AAGCCUAACGGCUGAACUGGCAAUCCGGAUAAACGAAAUAGAAUUGUAUAUUUACUAAAAUAAAGUUUUAAGUACGUAUUAAUAAUGAUAAUAUGUAUACUAGUCUUGACCAAUUACGUGCCAGCAGUCGCGGUAAUACCGUAAGAGACGAGCAAUUAUUCAUAUUAAAUAGGUUUAAAGGGUACCCAGACGGUCAAAAUACCUUAAAUAAAAAGAAGUACUAGACUAGAGUUAUAUGUGAGAAGACCGUACUUGACGUGGAGGGAUUAUAUCCUGUGAUACUGAAAGGACUGAUAAAGGCGAAGGCUGUCUUUUAUGUAAUAACUGACGUUGGAGGACGAAGGCAUAGAGAACGAACAGGAUUUGACACCCUAGUAGUCUUUGCAGACAAUGAUGAAUGCCAUAGAUUAGAUUGAUCUAAAUUUAGUCUAUAAAUGAAAAUGAAAGCAUUUCACCUCAAGAGUAAUGU